GCUAACACAUGCAAGUCGAACGGCAGCACAGGAGAGCUUGCUCUCUGGGUGGCGAGUGGCGGACGGGUGAGGAAUACAUCGGAAUCUACUUUUUCGUGGGGGAUAACGUAGGGAAACUUACGCUAAUACCGCAUACGACCUACGGGUGAAAGCAGGGGAUCUUCGGACCUUGCGCGAUUGAAUGAGCCGAUGUCGGAUUAGCUAGUUGGCGGGGUAAAGGCCCACCAAGGCGACGAUCCGUAGCUGGUCUAAGAGGAUGAUCAGCCACACUGGAACUGAGACACGGUCCAGACUCCUACGGGAGGCAGCAGUGGGGAAUAUUGGACAAUUGGGCGCAAGCCUGAUCCA
RNAcentral lists this ribosomal RNA (348 nucleotides) under uncultured bacterium. RNAcentral describes it as "bacterial SSU rRNA". It matches the Rfam family "Bacterial small subunit ribosomal RNA", at positions 46 to 390 of the family's 1533-position model. The record is from RNAcentral.